RNAcentral lists this long non-coding RNA (1899 nucleotides) under Triticum aestivum (bread wheat). RNAcentral's name for it is "long non-coding RNA (TAES_LNC004863)". The record is from RNAcentral. Lineage: Eukaryota; Viridiplantae; Streptophyta; Magnoliopsida; Poales; Poaceae.
GGAGGCAGAGGAUGAUGAGGUAAGUAUCGUGCAAAGUUUUCGACUCGACAAGUCCUUCUGGGGUAGCGACUCUUGACGAGUCAUGCCGUGCCGAUCUAGUCGAGGUGUCUGAGUCGACUUCUAGUUACGACUCAUCGACUAGUCGUGACUAUUCGUUUGACUCAAAAAAGGGGUAUCAAGCAAGCAGUGAGGGUGCAUUUCCCUUUUUUGGACACACACACAAGUUACUUUUUUCAUGCAUCCUUUAGGUUGGUGACCCAUUCCUCUUCGUGAAACGGCGGAAACGGAAGGCGACCACGCAGGUUGGAGUUGUAGCUGGAGUUGGCACAUCGUCUGCAGCAGCUGCCGAGGUAACAUAAAAUGGCAUUAGGAUUUUUUUUCCUACACAAAGAAACCUGGGAUAUUAUUUUUUACGCAGUUGCACAAGAACCAGCUAGGUGUUGGCAUCCUGAAACUUUUAUAGUUGUACAAAAAUCAAUUAAGAGUUGGUAUCCUCAAGUUUUCAAAUAGUUGCACAACAGUAUCACACGAGUUGGCAUCCUCGACUUUCAUAGUUGCACCAGAACCAAUUGGGAGUUGGCAGUCUCAACUUUUUGAAUAGUCACAUAACAAUAUCACAUGAGUUGGCAUCCGCAACUAUUUUAGUUGCAUAAGGGAGUUGGCAUCACCAAUUUUUUAAUAGUUGCGCAACAGUGUCACAUGAGUUGGCAUCUUCAACUUCUUUAGUUGCACAAGAACCAUUCAGUAGUUGGCAUCCUCAUGUGUUCACAUGCAUAUGAUUUUCUAGGUUUACAAAUGCACUUGACUAUAGUUGCACUACUUAUUUGGAAGAUUAUAAUCUGUUAAAUUCACUAUUUUAUCUAUUUUCUUGUGUUUAGAUAGGCUAAAUUCAUCAUGUUCCUCAGUUCAAAAUUCAUUACAUAGCUGCAUAAACACGCAACAUGAUUUGCAUGCAGGAGUACUUGCAGUUGCACAAAAUAGAUGAUGUAGUUGCACAACAGCCAACAUAAAGUUUAUUUUUGGAAUUCUGCAUACAGAUUUUUAGCUAAAACCAAAAUGAAUCUGAAAUUAUCAGAGUUGGCAUCUUUUACUUUUAUAUGAGUUGAAGAUGCCAACUAAUGAAAUUCAAACCCCAUAAGUGGAUGGAUAUGGGAGUGUUGUCGGUUGCACACUUGUACUCGUUAAGUUGCAUAAAUACAAGCUGGCGUUGGUUCAUUUUUUUCUCAAGCUUCUUUUUUUGCAUCAUGUGCAGGUUUUACAGGCUAUGGGGGUGCAUGAACUGAUGUAGAUUUUUGCACACAAUUCUAAGCUACAAAGUCACAUAUACUACUGUGUGGAAAGAUCAAAGGAAAAAAACACAUAUACUUCUUGUCUAGUUGGUAGUUAUAUUUUCAUUGUACCUACAAUAUGCUUUUUUCUUUUCUUUUUUUGCUACAGUGACACUGGUUCUUCUGCAUUAUGUGUGAAAUAAGACUCUAUAUGUGCUAUCUUAUAUAUAUAUUUGCAUAUUUUCUGUGUUUUGUUGCACACAUUGCUGCAAAAGUUGACUUGUCUUAUGAUCUAGUUGCACAAUAAUUAGUUAAAAUUGCACAGGUACCGGAUCUCCCUAUUUUUUAUCCUUGUUUGUGUUGUCUUUUAAGUAUGGAGAAGCUAUUUUUCAAAGAGAAAUUUGGUGUGGGGGUGAAAGGGAAAGUGAAGGAGUGAGGAUCUGGACAUGAGGAGAAGGAUCAACCUCUUUUUUCACCCUUGUUGGUGCUGCCUGGUACUUUCUAAUCUGUCCUCCCUCUUUCUUCUUUUUUUCGCAGCAAAUUGUUCCAUAGCAUUGUUAUUUCACCUUGAUUCAUCUGCCAUGGCAGCUCUGGCGAUGGAGAUCCAGAACUGGGAACCCCUUGUUUCGUG